Molecule: long non-coding RNA, 3900 nt
Filed under: Daucus carota (carrot)
Lineage: Eukaryota; Viridiplantae; Streptophyta; Magnoliopsida; Apiales; Apiaceae
Description: long non-coding RNA (DCAR_LNC003393)
Source: RNAcentral
GACUUCUUAGAACCAGCAAAGCACUUGGAGAGCAUUCUGUUUGCCUUUUUCUUACAUACCAGGUAGCUUGCGAUUCUGCUUGAUACAUCAGUUUGUCUUCUACGUAGAGAGGAUUCUAGAUCUUGAACUGAAUCUCUCAUAUGCGAGAGAGCAUCUUUUGAGGUGCUGCACUGAUCCAAUAACCUAAUGGACCCGCAAAGAUAUCUUCUCCGCAGCUCAAACGAUCUUGCUGUGCGGCUUGCGAUUGGAUCAAAUCUUCUACACACUCAUAUAAGUCCUUGAAGAGCGGAUAAUUUGUCGCAUUUGGAUACUGUCGAUGAGGAUGUCCCUUCCGGGGUCCUUAAUCUGCGCAAGUGCUCCUCAACAGUGGCUGUCAAGAGAUGAGAUCUGGAUGGUAAGCUGAUGGAACGAGAAUGAGCACUAACUUUUGUGGUUGCAAUUGAGGCUGCCAUUUUUAUUUGCAGGAGGAAUUAGAUGCCAAUGAAAAUCCUGAACUCAAGGUUUGUUUGAUUGAACUCUCACCUUGGCACCUUUUUAUAAACUAUGAGGAGACAAAAGGAAUCAACUUAAUUUCCUUCAUGUGCCGAACAGAGAAACAGGCCAAGGUAACUAGGGGCUGAGGGCAAAACAGGCUAGAAUAGGGAUUAGUGACUCGGGUUGACCUAGCAAUGCAGUUUGUAAAAUUUUGUGUGUGAUUACUAUAUUAUAGUUUGAUUAUAUAUCUGGAUGAUCUGAAUUUUAAAGCUAUUUGCACUCAAAUCGCAAUUAAUCUUCUGUGUAUGUUUAUAUUAAUAUGAAUUGCCACCCGGAUCCGGUCUACUUCUAGUUUACAUUAGAUAGAUAAUUACAGUAUUGAUUGCGAGAAAAGAAUUGGGGACGGGUAUAACUCCUUUUUUUGACCCUGCACUGCGUUCUUAUUUGCGGUUUUGGGAUAUGUGAUGGGUAUGAGAAGGAUCCUGUUGCAGAAAUAUAUAUAUUUUGCAAAUUGUGUUGUUGAUGAAAUAUACGCGAAACCGAAUAUUGACUUUAAACAGUUGUUUUCGCAAUCUUUCUCGUUGAUAAUAUACUAGCUUCACAUACAGUCUGUACUCAUGUAUGUACAAAAACUGAUCCCUCACAAAAAUUCGGGGAUGCAGUAAUAGUCUAUCUAAUAGACAAUUCUGUUGGAAAAGAACUAGUGGUUGAGCACAUUGAGAAUUAAUACUCGUGUCUUGAUCAAUGAUCGGACUAGACAGUCUAAUUGUUCUUCACAUUCUUGCAUAUUCAUGUCCAAUGCCGUCAGACAUUUCUGAACGUCUUCUGUUUCUGUGAUAUCACUUUUUUUGCUUGAUUUCUUGCUGAUAGCUUCUAAAGCCAUAUCCAUGUUGUGAACUUGGUUGAUAAUUUCUUCUGUGUCCUCUUCACAAUGUACACGCUUGGACUGUGUUGACUUGAAAACCUUUGACCAUGUGCUUUUUGUCGAUGCUUCCUUUGCAGGACAGAUGGAUGAGAAGAUAGACUCGAAAACUGAGAUGCUGACUUCUUCGACUUCCCUUAGAAGGCUCACGAUAGCAGGAGUCUCGAUGCUUUUGUUAAUUUUGGACUUCUUAGAACCAGCAAAGCACUUGGAGAGCAUUCUGUUUGCCUUUUUCUUACAUACCAGGUAGCUUGCGAUUCUGCUUGAUACAUCAGUUUGUCUUCUACGUAGAGAGGAUUCUAGAUCUUGAACUGAAUCUCUCAUAUGCGAGAGAGCAUCUUUUGAGGUGCUGCACAGAUCCAAUAACCUAAUGGACCCGCAAAGAAUAUCUUCUCCGCAGCUCAAACGAUCUUGCUGUGCGGCUUGCGAUUGGAUCAAAUCUUCUACACACUCAUAUAAGUCUUGAAGAGCGGAUAAUUUGUCGCAUUUGGAUACUGUCGAUGAGGAUGCCCCUUCCGGGGUCCUUAAUCUGCACAAGUGCUCCUCAACAGUGGCUGUCAAGGGAUGAGAUCUGGAUGGUAAGCUGAUGGAACGAGAAUGAGCACUAACUUUUGUGGUUGCAAUUGAGGCUGCCAUUUUUAUUUGCAGGAGGAAUUAGAUGCCAAUGAAAAUCCUGAACUCAAGGUUUGUUUGAUUGAACUCUCACCUUGGCACCUUUUUAUAAACUAUGAGGAGACAAAAGGAAUCAACCUAAUUUCCUUCAUGUGCUGAACAGAGAAACAGGCCAAGUAUCAGAAAAUGCAGAUCUCAAUUGUAGCAGUGUCUGUGGGAGGAGGAACAUUUGCUUGGCACAAAAUAAUAUAAUAUGCAAGAAACCAGGCUGGCGUUCAUCUGCAAAUUUUGGUAAGUUUUCUAAUAUGAAAACAAGUUAAGACCAGGGGUAUAAUUUUGCAUCUCAUGUGUUAUAUAUUAAAGUUGUCUUGAAAUUCAUAUACAUUGCAUUAUUUUUUGCAUCUUGUUGUUAGACAUGUUGUAUAUUAUUGUUAAGUAAAACAGCGCAUGAAUGGCUUGGCAUUUUUUUUAUGCAUAGAAUUAGUGAGGGCCUUUAUUGCUCCAUUCGGUCUCUAGCGAUGCAGAGCUGAACACUUGAGAUCUGUCAUUAUGUGUACUGGGUAGACAGAAGGAAUCUGAACAGCCUGCAGUCAGUUUGCAAGAACCAUUAAGGUGUGACUAGGUGUCCUGGUAACUAGGGGCUGAGGGCAAAACAGGCUAGAAUAGGGAUUAGUGACUCGGGUUGACCGAGCAAUGCAGUUUGUAAAAUUUUGUGUGUGAUUACUAUAUUAUAGUUUGAUUAUAUAUCUGGAUGAUCUGAAUUUUAAAGCUACUUGCACUCAAAUCGCAAUUAAUCUUCUGUGUAUGUUUAUAUUAAUAUGAAUUGCCACCCGGAUCCGGUCUACUUCUAGUUCACAUUAGAUAGAUAAUUACAGUAUUGAUUGCCAGAAAAGAAUUGGGGACGGGUAUAACUCCUUUUUUUGACCCUGCACUGCGUUCUUAUCUGCGGUUUUGGGAUAGUGUGAUGGGUAUGAGAAGGAUCCUGCUGCAGAAAUAUAUAUAUUUUGCAAAUUGUGUUGUUGAUGAAAUAUACGCGAAACUGAAUAUUGACUUUAAACAGUUGUUUUCGCAAUCUUUCUCGUUGAUAAUAUACUAGCUUCAUAUACAGUCUGUCCUCAUGUAUGUACAAAAACUGAUCCCUCACAAAAAUUCGGGGAUGCAGUAACAGUCUAUCUAAUAUACAGUUCUGUUGGAAAAGAACUAGUGGUUGAGCACAUUGAGAAUUAAUACUCGUGUCUUGAUCAAUGAUCGGACUAGACAGUCUAAUUGUUCUUCACAUUCUUGCAUAUUCAUGUCCAAUGCCGUCAGACAUUUCUGAACGUCUUGUGUUUCUGUGAUAUCACUUUUUUUGCUUGAUUUCUUGCUGAUAGCUUCUAAAGCCAUAUCCAUGUUGUGAACUUGGUUGAUAAUUUCUUCUGUGUCCUCUUCACAAUGUACACGCUUGGACUGUGUUGACUUGAAAACCUUUGACCAUGUGCUUUUUGUCGAUGCUUCCUUUGCAGGACAGAUGGAUGAGAAGAUAGACUCGAAAACUGAGAUGCUGACUUCUUCGACUUCCCUUAGAAGGCUCACGAUAGCAGGAGUCUCGAUGCUUUUGUUAAUUUUGGACUUCUUAGAACCAGCAAAGCACUUGGAGAGCAUUCUGUUUGCCUUUUUCUUACAUACCAGGUAGCUUGCGAUUCUGCUUGAUACAUCAGUUUGUCUUCUACGUAGAGAGGAUUCUAGAUCUUGAACUGAAUCUCUCAUAUGCGAGAGAGCAUCUUUUGAGGUGCUGCACAGAUCCAAUAACCUAAUGGACCCGCAAAGAAUAUCUUCUCCGCAGCUCAAACGAUCUUGCUGUGCGGCUUGCGAUUGGAUCAAAUCUUCUACACACUCAUAUAAGUCUUGAAGAG